CGUCCGCGAGGCUCCCGGGCCCGCCGGCGUCUGUGGGGAACUGGGGCGCUGGUCGGUGCGCGGGCUGGGACGCUAAGUCAUGAGGAAUUAAACUGGGAAACCUGGCGUGGGUCCAGGCGCCUUCCAGGAGGCAUCCGGCGCGGCCCGGACGUGCUUCUACCCAGAACCACCCCCUCCAGGCCGGGGUGCACUUAACGGGGCUAUACAAAGAGUCUGGUGGGUGACUGUGGGCCUCAUCCCUAUCCCGGGGUCUGAUAGGGAAGACUCUCGGGCCCCGCAGGGAAUAUCUGGCUAGUGCACCCUCGGCGGGAGCGCCACUCUCCCUCCUUGGGCGGCGCCCCCCACCUCUCAUCCCGCCCAAUCCGUUUUGCAAAGUCGGCCAAAACAAAAACAAACUUGGAGCGCUGAUAGACACUGUUAUUGCCCAUCUGAACUCGUCAACUGAGAAGGAAAGAGAUGGUUUAUGCUGUGAAUAAAAUACAGUUGUGCUGUGAUGUAAAUCCCCUCAUCCUGGAGCAGCUGAGCAAGGUCUAAGGCAGGAAGAACCUUCAAGCAGGUCAUGGCUCAGCAGACUCCACUCCUUCCCGCCAUUGUGAAUAUUAUCAUCUUCAUCUUUUUAUACUGUACUACUUCUGCUACACUGACCUUCUCUCCAUGCCACCAAACCACACUCCUAAGUGCAGAGAAUAUGAUUGAUUCUCCUACUAUACCAAUUUCCAUGAGCAGGACCAAUUACAUAAUUUGCAGGGUCCAGAGGAAAAAAAAUGCAGAACUCCUCAUUGAAAAAUUACUAAGAAUUUCAAGAUGGUGGCAACAGAGCAUUAAACCAACCACAGGGUCUUUCUAACAUGGAGAACUAAGUGACUACACAGGCUACAUGUCCACGAAGCCAGACAGUCUCUGAAGUGCAGGCUCAACUCUGCCUGGCAGUGGCAAGGGCCAGGGCCAGUGACUGAAGCAACAAACUGCCAGAUGACUGCAGCUCAAGCCAAUGCACAAAGCCACUGCAACAAGAGAGGAAAUUCUUCCAUUUCCAAGUGUGUCGAUUUCUCCCCAUCAAGGAAAACAGCUAAGGCAAUGUGUUGAUAUUUUCUUUGACCAAGUCAUCAGGAGUCACAUAGACAUACAGCACUCAAGAAGUGGCUGUAACUAAAGGCACAUCUCGUUCAUCUACAACCCUUGUAAUCCCAACCUUUGUCUGAUGCACAAACCCUUCCCUAGUUCUCCCCACCACCACCACUGCACCUCCAAGUGGGGACAACGAAUUGUUUCAUUUGCAUGUGGUUUUUCUCAUGAAAAAUAUCAUUAACAUGAGACAGCCCCAAACCAAGGAAACCAGAAGUGGGGUUUGUGCUUGGUCUUACUGAGAGCUUUCCCUACUUGACCAGACCCCAGCAUUGUUCUAGAUUUGUCUCUUGUGGGCUACAGGAAUGCAAACAUUUUGUAGUUUCCUCUUUUUUGUUUUCUUAAUGGCUUGAUGAGCCACACAUGUUUCUCUAAAUGCAUGAUUUUAAAUUCACACAAUUUCUGCCAACUAAACUUAAUGCAUUCUCCUCCUCUUCUAAUCAAUAAGGGCUAUCAGAAUGUUUUGGGUGAAGAUGAGCGGAAGGUAAGAAAUUACAUACUGUGGGCCAGGUUUGGUGACUCACAUCUGUAACCCCAGCACUUUGAGAGACCAAGGCAUGCAGAUCGCUUGAGGCCAGGAGUUCAAGACCAGCCUGGCCAACAUGGCGAAAUCCUAUCUGUACUAAAAAUACAAAAAUUACCCAGGCGUGAUGGCUCAUGCCUGUAGUCCCAGCCACUCAGGAGGCUAAGGCAAGAGAAUCACCUGAACCCAGGAAGUGGAGUUUGCAGUGAGCUGAGAUCACGCCACUGGACUCCAGCCUGGGCAACAGAGUGAGACUCUGUCUCAAAAAAAAAAAAAAAUUACAUACUGUCGAGUAUGACCUAAAAACAUAGAGAGACUAUAUUUCAAUAGUAUGACAGGAUUAUGUUAGCUGCUAAUAACAGAACCCAAAAUAACAAUAGAUUAAAUAAAAGAUUAGUAUCCCAGGUAAAAGUCUAGAGGUAGGAAUUCUAGGACUAAGUGAAGGUUCUGCUCAGUGAAGUCCUCAGGGACACAGGCACCUUCAGCUCAUAACUCUAUCAUCCCUGGAGGGUACUUAAGGGUCCAGGAUGGCAGCCAAAAGUCGUACCUACGUUUUAAACAGCAGGGUGCUGGAAGGCAUAAAGAAAAAGCCAGAGGCACACGCCUGUUCUCACUUAAGGAAAAUUCCUGGAAACUGCCACAAUACACCUUCGCUUACAUCCCAUUGAUCAAAACGUGGAUGCAAAGCCACACCUUACUGUGGGGUACAGGGAAAAAAAACUUUUUUUGACAAUCAUGAGUUCAUUAACAGAAUUCAGGGAUCUCUUAAUACAGAAGCAAGGGAGAACAGCUGUUGGGGGACCACCGGAAGUCUCUGCUCUAAAGAACAAUGUAAAUACCUGGUGGUAGACUAACACUGAUGGCCUACAAUGAAUCACACCUACUGACAUUCAUGCCUUUGUGCAGAGUUCCACACUGAUGCUGGGCUUGGCCUUGUGACUUGUUUGGCCAAUAGGAUCUCAGCAAGCACCUUGAUAAGUGCUUGUGCAUUAGGGCUUGCUGUCCUGAAAUCCAGGUGCCAUGUAAGAAGUGUGGGUUAGUCCCUAUGAAGAUGACAGACCACAUGGAGAAAGAGGCUGAGCCUAUACCCACCCACCUACCAGAGAAGAUCAGCAGAAGAACCAGUGAAUCAUUAUUGCUUUAGUCAUUAAUUUGGGGGCAAUUUGUUAUACAGCGAUAGAUAAGUGGUACAGUACAUAGACAAAUUUCUGCAGUUCAUCGAGCAUUAGCACCAAAUAAGUAUACAACAGUGUUUGGAGCACUAAAGAGAGUAUAAAAUAUUGCUUAAAAUUGUUUCCUUGGCCUCAUGAAACAGAAAUCGGCUCUGAUUAGCAACCAAAAAAUGAGAAUUUAUUGGAAGAACACUAAAUAGAAUUAAAGAAAUGCCGAAAACCAAGAUUCAAGAAGGGCAGUGUGGUAGACAUAUCAAGCAGUGUAUAUGUCACCUAUAAGCCAAACAGCCUGGCCUAACUCCAGGGUCAUUGACCACUUGUUUUCCCCAACUGCCACCAUAGCAACCAACUGUAUGGGCCCUGCCCAGAGACUACUGAAGCAACAGACUUUACAUUGGCACAUCCCAGUGGUUCCCCUCCCUUUCCCCAAGCCACACACAUCUCACCUCCCACCCCAAGAGGGCUGAGAUAGUGCCUAACUGUUGGGCUUCUAACAAAGUGUAGCCGUAAGUGCAGUGGAGUUAAUGUCCUUGGGGUAAAUCUAAUCAAAACAAGAUGGGUCCAGCAUAUAAACUCCUCUCCUUCCUCCACCCAGACAGAUUGUCCUGAAACACAGUAGUCCAUACUACCUCUCAAAAUAUGACCCUCAUGAUACUGACCAAUCACCCGGGCUUGAUACCAAGAGGUAGCUAGUUCGGUAAUACACUAUUUUAUUAUUAAUAGUUUCUCUUCCUUCUUUGCCCAGCCCGUUCGUCUUCACUCCAGUUUCUCUCAAACUACACUCAGGCUCUGUUUUCUACAGAACCCAGGCUAAAAGACUUGGCACCAGGAGCGUCCUGCAGACACUCAGGAUGGAAUGCUAGAGUUGGGUUACUUACCGACCGUGUGGCAAUAAAGACCCAUGGCACAGCAGCCUCUAGGAGCUGAGGGUGCCCUCCAGCUGACAUCCAGAAAGAAAUUGAAGCCCUAGGUUGUGAAACCACAAGGACGUGAAUUCUGCCAACACAUAAUGUGAGUUUGAAAGCAGAUUCUUCCCCAGUUGAACUACCAUCUGAAAAUCCAGUUUGGGCUAACAACUUGAUUGCAGCCUUUCAAAAAAGAAUCAGCUAAGCUGUAUCCAGACUUCUGACCCAUAAAAACUGUGAGAUAGUAUAUCUGUGUUGCUUAAGCUGUUAAUUUUGCAGCAAUAUUUAAGUUGUUGCUGUUAAGUUACAUAGCAAUAGAUAAAUAUAAAAUAGUACAACCACUCUGGAAAAUAGUUUGACAUUUUCUUAUUGCAUUAAACAUACACCAACCAAAUGACCCAGCAAUUCCACACCCUAGAGAAGUGGAAAACAUAGGUCCCUCCCAAAAACUUAUACCUAUGUUAUAAAUACCUCGUUAUUUAUAACAACUUCAUUUGUAAUAGCUAAAAAUCAGGAAAAAAAAGUCCAUCAAUACAAAAAAGGAUAAAGAAAUUAUAGUAUAUUAAUACAGUACAAUGGAUGCAACUCAGCCAUAAAAUGGAAUGAACUUUUGAUAUAAACACAACAUGAAUGAAUCUCAAAAACAUUAUGCUAAGCUAAGGAAGCUGGACACAAAAUAGUAUGAACUGUAUGAUUUCACUUUUAUGAAAUUUUGAUACAGGCAAACAUAAUCUAUUGUGAAAGAAAUUGGACCAGUGGAUGCUCUGGGGAUUGAGGGCAAGCAUUGACUUGGAAAGGGAAUGGGAUAACUUCCUGCAGUGAUGGACAUGUUCUGUGUCUUGAGGUGUAGGUCACGGAGGUAUAUGCAUUCAUCAAAACUUUGGAACUUAAGAUCUGUGUUUGUUAUUAUUUGUAAAUUAUACUUCAAUUUUCAAAAAAAAAUUUUAGUAAGCAAAGAACAAGGGAACUAUCUGUUUGCUAAAGGAUGGUAGCAUGUCUCAGCCAAAUUACCCCCAAGACACUUGCAAAAAUAAAGAGACUAACUGAUGCCCUGUGGAGUCUGAAAGAACAUAAGGCUCUGGGAAAAAAAAGACACCUGUGACUGGUUGUGCCCUCUCAGUUGAUCUUUUUUGCUUUGAGCUUCAUUGACUCAAUCCACCCAAAGAAAAUCAUCCCUUCAAUGAAAGCCAUGAACUCCAUAUCCCAUAUCUAAUCAAUACGUAGUCAGAAAAUAAGCUAUACACAACCAAAGCUGCUCAAACAAGUUUCAGUGAUAACUUGAUCAUCCUUACCAUGUAGCUACUUCAAACAUGAUUUGCUUUUCACCAAUUAUAGAUAUUACCUAAUUCAAAGUAAUAUUUGUUGUGGUACUCUAGUGUAAGCAAAGUACAGAGAAUAAAUAGUCAAAAGACCUAUGAGCUCAAAACUGUCAGGGACAUCAAAAACGAGAAAAGUCUGAGACACUAUCAGAGUUCCAGGAGCUUAAGGAGAAAAGAAGACUAAAUAUAAUGGGGUAUCCUCGAUGGAAUCUUGGAACAGGAAAGGAUAUUAGAUAAAAACUAAGGAAAUCUG
This 5297-nucleotide long non-coding RNA is filed under the name Homo sapiens (human). RNAcentral's name for it is "non-protein coding RB1-DT:13". The record is from RNAcentral. Lineage: Eukaryota; Metazoa; Chordata; Mammalia; Primates; Hominidae.